Molecule: ribosomal RNA, 476 nt
Filed under: uncultured organism
Description: partial 16S ribosomal RNA
Rfam family: Bacterial small subunit ribosomal RNA
Source: RNAcentral
ACACUCCUGCGGGAGGCAGCAGUGGGGAAUUUUGGACAAUGGGCGAAAGCCUGAUCCAGCAAUGUCGCGUGAGUGAAGAAGGCCUUCGGGUUGUAAAGCUCUUUUGUCAGGGAAGAAACGGUGAGAGCUAAUAUCUCUUGCUAAUGACGGUACCUGAAGAAUAAGCACCGGCUAACUACGUGCCAGCAGCCGCGGUAAUACGUAGGGUGCAAGCGUUAAUCGGAAUUACUGGGCGUAAAGCGUGCGCAGGCGGUUUUGUAAGUCUGAUGUGAAAUCCCCGGGCUCAACCUGGGAAUUGCAUUGGAGACUGCAAGGCUAGAAUCUGGCAGAGGGGGGUAGAAUUCCACGUGUAGCAGUGAAAUGCGUAGAUAUGUGGAGGAACACCGAUGGCGAAGGCAGCCCCCUGGGUCAAGAUUGACGCUCAUGCACGAAAGCGUGGGGAGCAAACAGGAUUAGAUACCCCAGUAGUCCCAUGA